This 226-nucleotide ribosomal RNA is filed under the name uncultured bacterium. RNAcentral describes it as "partial 16S ribosomal RNA". It matches the Rfam family "Bacterial small subunit ribosomal RNA", at positions 15 to 236 of the family's 1533-position model. The record is from RNAcentral.
GAUCAUAGCUCAGAUUGAACGCUGGCGGCAUGCUUUACACAUGCAAGUCGGACGGCAGCACAGAGAAGCUUGCUUCUUGGGUGGCGAGUGGCGAACGGUUGAGUAACAUAUCGGAACGUACCGAGCGAGUGGGGGAUAACUAAUCGAAAGAUUAGCUAAUACCGCAUAUAUUCUGAGGAAGAAAGCAGGGGACCAUUUGGCCUUGCGCUGUUUGAGCGGCCGAUAU